CUGGCGGCGUGCCUAAUACAUGCAAGUCGAACGGUCGUUUCUAUGGAAGCUUGCUUCCACUGAGAAGAUAGUGGCGAACGGGUGAGGUAACACGUGGGGUAACCUGCCCAUAAGAGGGGGGAUAACAUCCGGAAACGGGUGCUAAUACCGCAUAGUUUUCUUGAUCGCAUGAUUGAGAAAGGAAAGACGGCCUUUGUGCUGUCGCUUAUGGAUGGACCCGCGGCGUAUUAGUUAGUUGGUGAGGUAACGGCUCACCAAGACGAUGAUACGUAGCCGACCUGAGAGGGUGAUCGGCCACAUUGGGACUGAGACACGGCCCAAACUCCUACGGGAGGCAGCAGUAGGGAAUCUUCCGCAAUGGACGAAAGUCUGACGGAGCAACGCCGCGUGAGUGAAGAAAGGUUUUCGGAUCGUAAAACUCUGUUGUCAGAGAAGAACAAGUUGGAGAGUAACUGCUCCAGCCUUGACGGUAUCUGACCAGAAAGCCACGGCUAACUACGUGCCAGCCGCUGC
RNAcentral lists this ribosomal RNA (513 nucleotides) under uncultured bacterium. Its description in RNAcentral is "bacterial SSU rRNA". It matches the Rfam family "Bacterial small subunit ribosomal RNA", at positions 36 to 518 of the family's 1533-position model. The record is from RNAcentral.